Long non-coding RNA from Amphibalanus amphitrite, 912 nucleotides. RefSeq lists it as uncharacterized. The transcript has 2 exons. NCBI's taxonomy places the organism in Eukaryota, Metazoa, Arthropoda, Thecostraca, Balanomorpha, Balanidae. The record is from RefSeq and is a predicted model, not a curated record.
AAAAAAAUAUGCAGAUGUCACGCUGAUUUACUGACUCAGCACCUUUUCGCUGAAUUUGUCACCUACGGUGGGCUACCGGCCUCGAAAUGAGAACCUGGGCGCAUGCGCGUAUAUCGCAUCUAGGACAAUUUUAUUGUCAAGAGGAGGGAGAUAGGUAAUUAUGGAACGUUUUUAAAGCUGUUUUUGUAUUUUGACGGUCUGUGGCUAAGGCUGGAGAGUGGUGAAGAAUAAUCCUUCAACAGAAAUGUCUGCAAGAUUGUUCAAAACAUUGUUUUCUUUUUUAUUUUGAUUUAAGACUCUUCAAUUGACAUAAUUACAGGAAAUAGCAUGUUCAUUAAAUGCAUCAAGCCAUGAGUUUGGGAAGUGAACUACUAUAGAGUGAUCAGUGAAUGGAUAUGUUGGACUUUGUGCAUAGUUGUGCGAAGUGGUGAAGUAACUUGGCUUGAAUUUAGAUUCAUCCCUGCUCUCCUAAUUUCUAAAAAAAAAAGUUCUUAAAUUUUCUUCCCAAUUGUACUGUGUCCACGUUGCAAGGAUGGAUUGCGAGUUGGUUGGAUUAGUGGAAACAUUUGCCUACAAAGUGUUGCAUGUCGUUAAGCACUGCUGGCAAUGCUUAUGGUAUGUGCUGUGUUGGACUUUGUGCAUAGUUGUGCGAAGUGUUGAAGCAACUUUGCUUAAAUUCAGAUUCAUCCCUAGUCUGCUAAUUUUUCAAAAGGUUUAAGUUUCUUCAAUUUUCUUCCUGUUUGUACUGUGUUCAUGUUCCAAGGAUGGGUUGUGAGCUGGUUGGAUUAGUGGAAACAUUUGCCUGCAGAGUGUUGCAUGUUGUUUAGCACUAGUAUUAUUUGCUAGCAGUGCCUAUGGUUAAUUGUUGCUUGUGCAAUUUCAGAAAAAAUAUAUAGAACUUGAUUAAUUAUA